This 441-nucleotide ribosomal RNA is filed under the name uncultured bacterium. Its description in RNAcentral is "partial 16S ribosomal RNA". It matches the Rfam family "Bacterial small subunit ribosomal RNA", at positions 338 to 795 of the family's 1533-position model. The record is from RNAcentral.
CCUACGGGUGGCAGCAGUGGGGAAUAUUGCACAAUGGGGGCAACCCUGACGCAGCGACGCCGCGUGAGUGAAGAAGUAUUUCGGUAUGUAAAGCUCUAUUAGCAGGAACGAGACAAGACGGUAUCUGACUAAGAAGCCCCGGCUAAAUACGUGCCAGCAGCCGCGGUAAUACGGAGGGGGCACGCGCUAUCCGGAAGUACUGGGUGUAAAGGGAGCGUAGAGGGGUGAGCAAGCCUGAGGUGAAAAGCGGGGGCCCAACCCCCGGACUGCUUUGGAAACUGUACGGCUGGAGUGCAGGAGAGGUAAGUGGAAUUCCUAGUGUAGCGGUGAAAUGCGUAGAUAUUAGGAGGAACACCAGUGGCGAAGGCGGCUUACUGGACUGUAACUGACGUUGAGGCUCGAAAGCGUGGGGAGCAAACAGGAUUAGAUACCCGAGUAGUC